This is a non-coding RNA of Immersiella caudata, 82 nucleotides long. The record is from the annotation of a GenBank genome assembly. NCBI's taxonomy places the organism in Eukaryota, Fungi, Ascomycota, Sordariomycetes, Sordariales, Lasiosphaeriaceae.
UCGGAUAUGGUGUAGUGUUUAACAUCGCUGGCUCUCAGUUUUGAGUUCUCAGCAGCCCGGGGUUUGAUUCCCCGUUUCCGAG